This 253-nucleotide ribosomal RNA is filed under the name uncultured bacterium. RNAcentral's name for it is "partial 16S ribosomal RNA". It matches the Rfam family "Bacterial small subunit ribosomal RNA", at positions 524 to 776 of the family's 1533-position model. The record is from RNAcentral.
UACAGAGGUGGCAAGCGUUGUUCGGAAUUACUGGGCGUAAAGGGCGCGUAGGCGGCCAUCUAAGUCAGACGUGAAAUCCCCCGGCUUAACCUGGGAACUGCGUCUGAUACUGGACGGCUUGAGUAUGGGAGAGGGAUGUAGAAUUCCAGGUGUAGCGGUGAAAUACGUAGAUAUCUGGAGGAAUACCGGUGGCGAAGGCGGCAUCCCGGACCAAUACUGACGCUGAGGCGCGAAAGCUAGGGGAGCAAACGGG